GCCAGCAUAGCUCAGUUGGUAGAGCACUUGAUUUGUAAUCAUGAGGUCGUCGGUUCGAUCCCGUCUGCUGGCUCCA
RNAcentral lists this transfer RNA (76 nucleotides) under Lentisphaerota bacterium. Its description in RNAcentral is "Lentisphaerae bacterium (anaerobic digester metagenome) tRNA-Thr". It matches the Rfam family "tRNA". From Rfam's summary of the family: Transfer RNA (tRNA) molecules are approximately 80 nucleotides in length. Their secondary structure includes four short double-helical elements and three loops (D, anti-codon, and T loops). Lineage: Bacteria; Pseudomonadati; Lentisphaerota. RNAcentral also lists the same sequence under 1 other name. The record is from RNAcentral.